Molecule: ribosomal RNA, 1346 nt
Filed under: uncultured bacterium
Lineage: Bacteria
Description: partial 16S ribosomal RNA
Rfam family: Bacterial small subunit ribosomal RNA
Source: RNAcentral
GACGAACGCUGGCGGCGUGCUUAACACAUGCAAGUCGAACGGAAAGGCCCUGCUUUUGUGGGGUGCUCGAGUGGCGAACGGGUGAGUAACACGUGAGUAACCUGCCCUUGACUUUGGGAUAACUUCAGGAAACUGGGGCUAAUACCGGAUUGGAGCUCCUGCUGCAUGGUGGGGGUUGGAAAGUUUCGGCGGUUGGGGAUGGACUCGCGGCUUAUCAGCUUGUUGGUGGGGUAGUGGCUUACCAAGGCUUUGACGGGUAGCCGGCCUGAGAGGGUGACCGGCCACAUUGGGACUGAGAUACGGCCCAGACUCCUACGGGAGGCAGCAGUGGGGAAUAUUGCACAAUGGGCGGAAGCCUGAUGCAGCAACGCCGCGUGCGGGAUGACGGCCUUCGGGUUGUAAACCGCUUUCGCCUGUGACGAAGCGUGAGUGACGGUAAUGGGUAAAGAAGCACCGGCUAACUACGUGCCAGCAGCCGCGGUGAUACGUAGGGUGCGAGCGUUGUCCGGAUUUAUUGGGCGUAAAGGGCUCGUAGGUGGUUGAUCGCGUCGGAAGUGUAAUCUUGGGGCUUAACCCUGAGCGUGCUUUCGAUACGGGUUGACUUGAGGAAGGUAGGGGAGAAUGGAAUUCCUGGUGGAGCGGUGGAAUGCGCAGAUAUCAGGAGGAACACCAGUGGCGAAGGCGGUUCUCUGGGCCUUUCCUGACGCUGAGGAGCGAAAGCGUGGGGAGCGAACAGGCUUAGAUACCCUGGUAGUCCACGCUGUAAACGGUGGGUACUAGGUGUGGGGUCCAUUCCACGGGUUCCGUGCCGUAGCUAACGCUUUAAGUACCCCGCCUGGGGAGUACGGCCGCAAGGCUAAAACUCAAAGGAAUUGACGGGGCCCCGCACAAGCGGCGGAGCAUGCGGAUUAAUUCGAUGCAACGCGUAGAACCUUACCUGGGUUUGACAUGGAUCGGGAGUGCUCAGAGAUGGGUGUGCCUCUUUUGGGGUCGGUUCACAGGUGGUGCAUGGCUGUCGUCAGCUCGUGUCGUGAGAUGUUGGGUUAAGUCCCGCAACGAGCGCAACCCUUGUUCACUGUUGCCAGCACGUUAUGGUGGGGACUCAGUGGAGACCGCCGGGGUCAACUCGGAGGAAGGUGGGGAUGACGUCAAGUCAUCAUGCCCCUUAUGUCCAGGGCUUCACGCAUGCUACAAUGGCUGGUACAGAGAGUGGCGAGCCUGUGAGGGUGAGCGAAUCUCGGAAAGCCGGUCUCAGUUCGGAUUGGGGUCUGCAACUCGACCUCAUGAAGUCGGAGUCGCUAGUAAUCGCAGAUCAGCAACGCUGCGGUGAAUACAUUGCCGGGGCU